AGAGUUUGAUCCUGGCUCAGAUUGAACGCUGGCGGCAUGCCUUACACAUGCAAGUCGAACGGCAGCACGGGGGCAACCCUGGUGGCGAGUGGCGAACGGGUGAGUAAUGCAUCGGAACGUGCCCAGUAGUGGGGGAUAACUAGUCGAAAGAUUAGCUAAUACCGCAUACGACCUAUGGGUGAAAGCGGGGGACCUUUACCGGCCUCGCGCUAUCGGAGCGGCCGAUGUCUGAUUAGCUAGUUGGCGGGGUAAAAGCCCACCAAGGCGACGAUCAGUAGCUGGUCUGAGAGGACGACCAGCCACACUGGGACUGAGACACGGCCCAGACUCCUACGGGAGGCAGCAGUGGGGAAUUUUGGACAAUGGGCGCAAGCCUGAUCCAGCCAUGCCGCGUGCGGGAAGAAGGCCUUCGGGUUGUAAACCGCUUUUGGCAGGAACGAAACGGCGCGAGCGAAUAUCUCGCGUUAAUGACGGUACCUGCAGAAUAAGCACCGGCUAACUACGUGCCAGCAGCCGCGGUAAU
This 523-nucleotide ribosomal RNA is filed under the name uncultured soil bacterium. Its description in RNAcentral is "bacterial SSU rRNA". It matches the Rfam family "Bacterial small subunit ribosomal RNA", at positions 8 to 524 of the family's 1533-position model. The record is from RNAcentral.